GGGGAUAUAGCUCAGUCGGUAGAGUGCUUGCCUUGCAUACACAAGGCCCUGGGCCUGGGUUCAAUCCCCAGCACCACCA
This 79-nucleotide transfer RNA is filed under the name Ictidomys tridecemlineatus (thirteen-lined ground squirrel). RNAcentral describes it as "Spermophilus tridecemlineatus (thirteen-lined ground squirrel) tRNA". It matches the Rfam family "tRNA". Rfam says of the family: Transfer RNA (tRNA) molecules are approximately 80 nucleotides in length. RNAcentral also lists the same sequence under 1 other name. The record is from Rfam by way of RNAcentral. Lineage: Eukaryota; Metazoa; Chordata; Mammalia; Rodentia; Sciuridae.